GGCCAAUUCUGCACUGUGCAGUUUGCCGGUGUCGAGUUUGGUCAUCCGUAGGGGAAGCUAGUUCGGCCUUCACUGGUCGGCUAGGGGAACCUACAAUUUACUGUGAAAAAAUUAGAGUGUUUCAGGCAGGCAAUCGCUUGGAUACUCCAGCAUGGAAUAAGGAUUUCUCAAGAAAUCUAGUUUUAAGGCUAAGGAAAUUUUUAUCUAUUCUCCUAUCCUUUGACUUUUCUACUUGUCGUUCGACUUUACUUUUGAUAUCCAUUCCCUGUCCAUUCUCAAAGUCUGGUCAUUGUAUUUCAUGAAAAUCCAUAAUGGAAUAGGACUUUGGUCUAUUUAUUGGUUUGAGAUCAAAGUA
RNAcentral lists this ribosomal RNA (355 nucleotides) under uncultured fungus. Its description in RNAcentral is "partial small subunit ribosomal RNA". Lineage: Eukaryota; Fungi. The record is from RNAcentral.